Molecule: long non-coding RNA, 332 nt
Organism: Penaeus monodon (black tiger shrimp)
Lineage: Eukaryota; Metazoa; Arthropoda; Malacostraca; Decapoda; Penaeidae
Exons: 2
Source: RefSeq, a predicted model, not a curated record
GUAUCCGCGUGUCCCAGGCUGGAUCCCCCGACGGUGAUGAGGACGCUGUGAUCAAGGCCGGAGAAUACUCGUACACUGCUCCUGACGGCACUCCCGUUGUCGUCAAGUACGUUGCUGACGAGAACGGCUUCCAGCCCCAGGGUGCCCACCUGCCCGUGGCUCCCGAGUUCCCUCACCCGAUCCCUCAGUUCGUCCUCGACCAGAUCGCAAAGGCCGCCGAGGAAGACCGCAACCGCGCCCGCGACGAUUCUGAUGAACGUUACAAUUAGACAGCUACCCAUGAAACCUAAUGUAUAUAUUGUAUAUUAUCAAUAGACUAUGUACGUAAUGUA